This 274-nucleotide ribosomal RNA is filed under the name uncultured bacterium. Its description in RNAcentral is "partial 16S ribosomal RNA". It matches the Rfam family "Bacterial small subunit ribosomal RNA", at positions 523 to 796 of the family's 1533-position model. The record is from RNAcentral.
CGACGGGGGGUGCUAGCGUUGUUCGGAACUACUGGGCGUAAAGGGCGCGUAGGCGGCUCUGCGAGUCGGGCGUGAAAUCCCGGGGCUCAACCCCGGAACGGUGCUCGAUACUGCGGGGCUGGAGACCGGAAGAGGAGGGUGGAAUUCCCAGUGUAGAGGUGAAAUUCGUAGAUAUUGGGAGGAACACCGGUGGCGAAAGCGGCUCUCUGGUCCGGUUCUGACGCUGAGGCGCGAAAGCGUGGGGAGCAAACAGGAUUAGAAACCCUAGUAGUCC